GUUGCAGUGAGCCAAGAUCACGCCACAAAGAAAUGUAUCAGAUUUAAGUUGGGUUGAUCUCAAAGUGAAGGAUGGAGAAAUGAAUUCUCUAUUGUCAUAAGGAAAAGGGAAGUCAUGAAGUUAGAAGGAAUUCCAUCAUCACUUGGGAGAUUUCUGCGAAUCAUCACUAAAGCCAUUCACUUUCUCAUAACUAAACAAGAAUCUUCUUCUGGAGUUAAGUAUCAGAUAUGAAUGUUCUCACUGACCUCAGGAAGCAAAAGUCCUAAAUCAUUAUAUGGCAGUGAAGGUACAAAAAAAAAAAAAAAUCAGCAGGAAAUAAAGCGGAACUGCUGCCAACACAUACAAGCUGCAGUAGCACCCACAAAAUGUGUAGUAUCUAUUCUAACACAUUCAUUGGACUGAUUACAUUGGCUCAUAGACUUGGUUAACUCUGGAAGAACAUAAUAGGUGUUUAUUGUUUACUAUGGGGAUGGGAAACAUAAUUAAGUCUAUAGUCUCCAAUUCUUCUCAAGUUCAAAUGAAACCAACACUUUUGGUUUUGUCUUAAC
RNAcentral lists this long non-coding RNA (548 nucleotides) under Homo sapiens (human). RNAcentral describes it as "HSALNT0329322". Lineage: Eukaryota; Metazoa; Chordata; Mammalia; Primates; Hominidae. The record is from RNAcentral.